This 253-nucleotide ribosomal RNA is filed under the name uncultured bacterium. RNAcentral describes it as "partial 16S ribosomal RNA". It matches the Rfam family "Bacterial small subunit ribosomal RNA", at positions 524 to 776 of the family's 1533-position model. The record is from RNAcentral.
UACGGGGGGUGCGAGCGUUGUCCGGAAUCACUGGGCUUAAAGGGCGCGUAGGCGGGCCGUCAAGUCAGGGGUGAAAGCCCCCAGCUCAACUGGGGAAGUGCCUUUGAUACUGACGGCCUCGAGGGAGAUAGGGGCGUGCGGAACUUCCGGUAGAGCGGUGAAAUGCGUAGAUAUCGGAAGGAACACCGGUGGCGAAAGCGGCGCGCUGGAUCUCUUCUGACGCUGAGGCGCGAAAGCCAGGGGAGCGAACGGG